GCGUAUGUCAUCAGCAUGCGUUGAUUACGUCCCUGCCCUUUGUACACACCGCCUGUCGUUACUACCGAUUGAAUGGCUUAGUGAGCCCUUGGGACUGGUGUCGUAGUGCCUUUACCGGCGCCGCGACUGCCGGAAACUUGUGCAAACUUGGUCAUUUAGAGGAAGUACAAGUCAUAACAAGGUUUCUGUAGGUGAACCUGCAGAAGGAUCAUUCUUG
Molecule: ribosomal RNA, 217 nt
Filed under: Moniliella sp. I-396/2
Lineage: Eukaryota; Fungi; Basidiomycota; Moniliellomycetes; Moniliellales; Moniliellaceae
Description: partial 18S ribosomal RNA
Rfam family: Eukaryotic small subunit ribosomal RNA
Source: RNAcentral